Molecule: ribosomal RNA, 434 nt
Filed under: uncultured bacterium
Lineage: Bacteria
Description: partial 16S ribosomal RNA
Rfam family: Bacterial small subunit ribosomal RNA
Source: RNAcentral
AGCGAACGCUGGCGGCAGGCCUAACACAUGCAAGUCGAACGAACCUUUCGGGGUUAGUGGCGGACGGGUGAGUAACACGUGGGAACGUGCCUUUAGGUUCGGAAUAACUCAGUGAAACUUGUGCUAAUACCGAAUGUGCCCUUCGGGGGAAAGAUUUAUCGCCUUUAGAGCGGCCCGCGUCUGAUUAGCUAGUUGGUUGAGGUAAUGGCUCACCAAGGCGACGAUCAGUAGCUGGUCUGAGAGGAUGAUCAGCCACAUUGGGACUGAGACACGGCCCAAACUCCUACGGGAGGCAGCAGUGGGGAAUCUUGCGCAAUGGGCGAAAGCCUGACGCAGCCAUGCCGCGUGAAUGAUGAAGGUCUUAGGAUUGUAAAAUUCUUUCACCGGGGACGAUAAUGACGGUACCUGGAGAAGAAGCCCCGGCUAACUUCGUG